CCUACGGGGGGCAGCAGUGGGGAAUAUUGCGCAAUGGGCGAAAGCCUGACGCAGCGACGCCGCGUGAGGGAUGAAGGUCUUCGGAUCGUAAACCUCUGUCAGCAGGGAAGAACGGUCACUGUGCUAAUCAGCAGUGAAUUGACGGUACCUGCAAAGGAAGCACCGGCUAACUCCGUGCCAGCAGCCGCGGUAAUACGGAGGGUGCGAGCGUUAAUCGGAAUUACUGGGCGUAAAGCGCUCGUAGGCGGUAUGUCACGUCAAGGGUGAAAUCCCCGCGCUCAACGUGGGAACUGCCUUUGAAACUGGCAAACUGGAGUGUGUGAGAGGAUAGUGGAAUUCCAGGUGUAGGAGUGAAAGCCGUAGAUAUCUGGAGGAACAUCAGUGGCGAAGGCGACUAUCUGGCACAUAACUGACGCUGAGGAGCGAAAGCGUGGGUAGCAAACAGGAUUAGAUACCCCAGUAGUC
Molecule: ribosomal RNA, 465 nt
Filed under: uncultured bacterium
Lineage: Bacteria
Description: partial 16S ribosomal RNA
Rfam family: Bacterial small subunit ribosomal RNA
Source: RNAcentral